UACAGAGGGUGCGAACGUUGCUCGGAAUUACUGGGCGUAAAGCGCAUGUAGGCGGAUCCAUAAGUCGGGCGUGAAAUCCCAGAGCUCAACUCUGGAACUGCCUCUAAUACUGGGUAUCUCGAGUUCGAGAGAGGUGAGUGGAAUUCCGAGUGUAGAGGUGAAAUUCGUAGAUAUUCGGAGGAACACCAGUGGCGAAGGCGGCUCACUGGCUCGAUACUGACGCUGAGGUGCGAAAGCGUAGGGAGCAAACAGG
RNAcentral lists this ribosomal RNA (253 nucleotides) under uncultured bacterium. RNAcentral's name for it is "partial 16S ribosomal RNA". It matches the Rfam family "Bacterial small subunit ribosomal RNA", at positions 524 to 776 of the family's 1533-position model. The record is from RNAcentral.